Daphnia pulicaria is the source of this 670-nucleotide long non-coding RNA. RefSeq lists it as uncharacterized. Lineage: Eukaryota; Metazoa; Arthropoda; Branchiopoda; Diplostraca; Daphniidae. The transcript has 3 exons. The record is from RefSeq and is a predicted model, not a curated record.
UCGUCUUCGUAAGUCGUAAUAAGAGAUACAAGUUUCGAACUGGAGACUAAUCGACAUUACAAGAUUUCAAAAAAAAAACGGAACGAUUACUUUUUUGGACGUGGAUGCACGAAAAUAAAAUAACAAAAAUGUGGUCAACGUUAUGUAAAGUUUGUUGUCGCAGCUUCCCAUGCUCUUCACUUCAUGCUGUUUGGCAGAUUUGAGGCCUGAACCCAGCCUGAACCAGCCAUCGUAACAGCAAAGUUUUGCUUGUGCUGGACCUCCAGUCACAUAUGAUUUGACUGAUGAACUCCUGUCAUCAGCAACAAUCAUCACUUAGAUAAACAGCACCCCAUUUAAUUGGAGAAACUUCCAGUGCCGACCGAGUUAAGGAUCUCUUCAAUUCCCCUUUCUAUCUUUUUGUCCUUGUGUACAUCCAUGUGAAUGUGGGUGUAUUCACGAGGACUCCCUUUUACCUAUCCCUGCUGGUAGAUUCAAUAACUCUUCAGCGGAUGGAUAAAGCACUUGACCACUGGUGGAUGCCUGACUGAAUUUCCCAGGCUUCAAGGUAGGACAAAUUCAUUUCUAUCUUUCCUUUCUGACUAUUGAGUGGCGUUUAUUGUAAAUCGUUGCGGAGUACGGAGUACGAUUAUUCCUGUGCCACGCAGUUGGCUGAAACGGUUUUUUCUUU